GAUGAACGCUGGCGGCGUGCCUAAUACAUGCAAGUCGAGCGAACGGACGAGAAGCUUGCUUCUCUGAUGUUAGCGGCGGACGGGUGAGUAACACGUGGAUAACCUACCUAUAAGACUGGGAUAACUUCGGGAAACCGGAGCUAAUACCGGAUAAUAUUAUGAACCGCAUGGUUCAAAAGUGAAAGACGGUCUUGCUGUCACUUAUAGAUGGAUCCGCGCUGCAUUAGCUAGUUGGUAAGGUAACGGCUUACCAAGGCAACGAUGCAUAGCCGACCUGAGAGGGUGAUCGGCCACACUGGAACUGAGACACGGUCCAGACUCCUACGGGAGGCAGCAGUAGGGAAUCUUCCGCAAUGGGCGAAAGCCUGACGGAGCAACGCCGCGUGAGUGAUGAAGGUCUUCGGAUCGUAAAACUCUGUUAUUAGGGAAGAACAUAUGUGUAAGUAACUGUGCACAUCUUGACGGUACCUAAGCAGAAAGCCACGGCUAACUACGUG
RNAcentral lists this ribosomal RNA (497 nucleotides) under uncultured bacterium. RNAcentral describes it as "partial 16S ribosomal RNA". It matches the Rfam family "Bacterial small subunit ribosomal RNA", at positions 28 to 507 of the family's 1533-position model. The record is from RNAcentral.